AUUGAACGCUGGCGGCAUGCUUUACACAUGCAAGUCGAACGGCAGCACGGGUGCUUGCACCUGGUGGCGAGUGGCGAACGGGUGAGUAAUGCAUCGGAACGUGCCCAUGAGUGGGGGAUAGCCCGGCGAAAGCCGGAUUAAUACCGCAUACGCCCUUAGGGGGAAGCGGGGGAUCUUCGGACCUCGCGCUAUUGGAGCGGCCGAUGUCGGAUUAGCUAGUAGGUGAGGUAAAGGCUCACCUAGGCGACGAUCCGUAGCUGGUCUGAGAGGAUGAUCAGCCACACUGGGACUGAGACACGGCCCAGACUCCUACGGGAGGCAGCAGUGGGGAAUUUUGGACAAUGGGCGCAAGCCUGAUCCAGCCAUGCCGCGUGAGUG
This 378-nucleotide ribosomal RNA is filed under the name uncultured bacterium. RNAcentral's name for it is "bacterial SSU rRNA". It matches the Rfam family "Bacterial small subunit ribosomal RNA", at positions 28 to 407 of the family's 1533-position model. The record is from RNAcentral.